AAACUUGAUGCAAGUCAGUUAAUUUCCUUUCCCAGCGCCCGGUUCCGGGCGGCAUUGACGCCGGUCAAUUUUCCUCCGCGCCCAUUUGGGUAACUUAGCUCCAUCGCAACAGGGCGAGUGCAGGAGGCCAGUCAUGUUUUUCGAUAACGUGGUGAUCGCUGGAGUGUUGACCGUAGGUCUCAUGGUGGUGUUUCUCGGCGGAUUUGGAUUUUUUAUCUGGAAAGACUCACAUAAGAGGAAGAAACCCUAGGUCUUUUCAGAGAACGAGCACGCAAGGCAUUUUGGGCGACUUCGGUCGCCUUUU
This 304-nucleotide small RNA is filed under the name Pseudomonas asplenii. RNAcentral describes it as "Pseudomonas sRNA P20". The stretch from base 95 to 304 matches the Rfam family "PhrS". The record is from RNAcentral. Lineage: Bacteria; Pseudomonadati; Pseudomonadota; Gammaproteobacteria; Pseudomonadales; Pseudomonadaceae.